Regulatory RNA element from Mesitornis unicolor (brown roatelo), 46 nucleotides. It matches the Rfam family "Histone 3' UTR stem-loop". Rfam says of the family: The mRNAs of metazoan histone genes lack a poly-A tail. 3' end processing occurs at a site between a highly conserved stem-loop (modelled by this family) and a purine rich region around 20 nts downstream (the histone downstream element, or HDE). The record is from Rfam. NCBI's taxonomy places the organism in Eukaryota, Metazoa, Chordata, Aves, Mesitornithiformes, Mesitornithidae.
ACAAAGGCUCUUUUCAGAGCCACCCACUUUUUCAAGAGAAGAGCCU